CGCACUAUCUACUUUAUUCGGGCGAAGCCAGCUGUUGCCGAACUGCGCGCUAUCAAUUUAUAGAUUUUGCGCAUACCUCGUCUUCCGGUCUGAAUGGCGGCGGGAUCUAUCUUCGUCGGGCCGCUUUGUUCGCUGUUCUCAAUCGGAGUUUCUUCUGCCGCUUCGUCGUUUUCCAACUCGCGAAAAUCCUUUGUGACGCACCUCGUGCAGGCGGGCAAUGCGCGGGCGGGGCGCGAAACGGCGAUUCCUCCUUCGGAACGGAGCGAACCUUUUGUGUGGCGCGAUUAGCCACGCGCGUAUCGGCUCUUCCGCGCCCAUUGUGUCGUGCAACGCGCUCGGUUCGCGUCGCUUCGGCGACCGUCUCGUCGACGCGAGGCCCUUGUUAUAAAACGUUUCAUUGCACCGCGUCGCGCUACCCUCUGUCCGACGAGAGGGGCCAGCGUCAACGCACGCGAUUGCAUGAUGUUGAAGGUGAUAGUGUAUAGCACAUUUCAUGGGCACCGAAUAAAAGGAAACGUUCUGUUCCCGUGUGCAGACAAAAAUCAUUUAAUGCACGCGGCUGGCUGACAGUUGAGUCUUUCUCUUGCUAAAGAAAAAAGAACUGCCAGACACGAGUGAUUGCAGACACCAGUGGUGACGAAACUUCUCGCGGCUUCCCUUUCUGGGUCCUUGCAGGCUCGUCGCCGGCGCGUCGUUUUCGGCCUCGUGCGGUCGACGCUUUCCGUCCUUUUUCUCUGGCGGUGUGUGUGCACCCACCGCGCUCACUACCGUUGCGUGCAGCCUGAGCAAUCUGGGCAGUCAGGUGCGUUCAGCCCAUUCCCUAAUUUUAUGAGAUCGGAUUUUGAAGCCCUAGAAGUGGUGGUAUUAGGCACCUAAAACAGACACCUGGGGCGCGAUCUUGUACGCGUUCCAAAAUAGAACGGAGGUGGUCCGUUUAGUACGUCACUAAAUAGGCGGUCCGCAAUGUUCGCGAGAACGAGAGGAAGCAAACAGCCGAUGAGCGAAGUGGAAGCAUACGUCACGCUUUUGAUGUCUGCUUGGGGACCGUAUAAUAUAUCGAGGAGCGUUUCCAACAUGUUGAGAAAUAUUUUGCUAUUAUGACGGAGUAGCAAAAUGUGUUGGUGUUGCUUUUCAAAGAUUCAAUUUGGAAUGCGAAACAACUGAAACAAAAUAUUGCGGUUAAUGUCUUCAAAUGGUGCUAGGUGGUGUCGCAGUUUUGCGAAACGUUUAGUGAUGGCGCUAGCCACCACCCCGUUUCAAGCACACGGCGCGAAUUUUGAAGCGGUUGGUUCAGUCGUUCAGUCGAGCACUGGAAGCCAUGGCGCUAAACGUGGCAGCACCGGUGAAGGGGCCACGUGUGUCGGAGGCGCAGAGAGAGACGGUGGUCGCCUUCAUGGAGCAGCAUCCCCAGCUGGCUAUAAGAUCCAGCGAGCUGAGGCCGCGCUUCACUGUUGGCGACCGCCGACGGCUGUGGCAGCAGCUGGCCGACGCGCUGAACAGCGAAGGCCCUGUAGUCAAAACCACUGAGCAGUGGCAGGAGUGGUGGCGCAAGCAAGUUUUUGAGGCCCGCCGCGACGCUGCCGCAAUUGCCCAAGAACAAAGGUGAGUGACCGUCCAAUGGUCUGGGCGAUUUGUCCUUCGACAUUGGCGUGUAUUUUCAGAAGCACAGGAGGGGGGCGGCUACACGGUUUUCGUGGCCGAGUCCUCCAGCUGACCGGAACGGUCCGCCUCCACGGCGUGACCGACCUCCCCUACCAAGAGCAGGCUGACGUCCCCACCUCCGCCAUGGAAGUUGUCGUCCAAGCUACAGACGAGGCUGCGGUCCUGAGGAGCACAGCGACACCGGCAGAGGAUCCACCGCGCGGUGCGUCACCUACCGAAAGGGUGACCGCUGCACCUGUGUUGCAGCACCCUGUUCAGCCACCACGUCGACAGCGACCACGACGGGUGGAUACCUUGACGACGAUGUCGUCGCAGUGCGCCCG
Molecule: long non-coding RNA, 1985 nt
Organism: Dermacentor andersoni
Lineage: Eukaryota; Metazoa; Arthropoda; Arachnida; Ixodida; Ixodidae
Source: RefSeq, a predicted model, not a curated record